UUGUAAAAUUCUAUUGUAUUAAUGGUUUUAAUUUUACCUUUUGCAUAAUGGUUUAAUUAAAAGUUAAAAAUUUUUGUUUCCCGAAAUAAAAGGAUCUAAUUAUUUAAUUUAUUAUAUGUUUUAAAAUAUAGUUUUUAUUUUUUAUUAGGUGUGAAAGGCUAAACAAUUUUUAUGAUAUCUGGAUUGAGUUUAAAUGUAUUAAGUACAGACUAUGUGUUGACUAAGCCACUUUUAAGGGGGGCUUAGUUAAAAGAAAGUUAGAUAAUAAAUAAAUAUAUUUGGAUAAUUCUUUAAUAAUAUUUAAACUUAUUUAGAUUUUUUUUUACUUGCUUAUUCUUUUUAAUAUGCUCUAAAAUUUUAAAAUAAUAAAUUUUUUUAAAAAUGUUAAAAUAAGUAUUAAUUUUUAAUUUAUUUUUAGGAACUCGGCAAAACACUUACUCAACUGUUUAUCAAAAACAUAGUUUUAUGAGAUUAUAUAAAAUGAAACCUGCCCAAUGAUAAGUUCAAUGGCCGCAGUACUUUAACUGUGCUAAGGUAGCAUAAUAAUUUGGCUUUUAAUUAAAGUCUGGCAUGAAAGGAUUUAUGGGUAAAAGCUGUCUUUUUUUAAGUUUUAAAAACUUACUUUAAAAGGUGAAAAUUCCUUUGAUUAUUUUAAUAGACGAGAAGACCCUAGGAGUUUAAAUUUUGUUGGGGCGACAUUUCAGUAAUAUAUUAACCUAUUAAAUUUAUUUAAAACGACUAUAUUAAUUAUAAUUAAACUACCCUAGGGAUAACAGCAUAAUUUUUAAAAAGUUUGUGACCUCGAUGUUGGACUAGG
Molecule: ribosomal RNA, 817 nt
Filed under: Pittoconcha concinna
Lineage: Eukaryota; Metazoa; Mollusca; Gastropoda; Stylommatophora; Helicarionidae
Description: partial large subunit ribosomal RNA
Rfam family: Archaeal large subunit ribosomal RNA (bases 440-585)
Source: RNAcentral